GACGAACGCUGGCGGCGUGCCUAAUACAUGCAAGUAGGACGCAGUUGCGAACGGGUGAGUAACGCGUAGGUAACUACCUAUUAGAGGGGGAUAACUAUUGGAAACGAUAGCUAAUACCGCAUACUAGUAGAUGGACCUGCGUUGUAUUAGCUAGUAGGUAGGGUAAUGGCCUACCUAGGCAACGAUACAUAGCCGACCUGGAGAGGUGGACGGCCACAAUGGGACUGGGACACGGCCCAGACUCCUCAGGGAGGCAGCCGUAGGGAAUUUUCGGCAAUGGGGGGAACCCUGACCGAGCAACGCCGCGUGAGUGAAGAAGGUUUUCGGGUCGUAAAGCUCUGUUGUUAAGGAAGCGGUACUUAACCAGAAAGGGACGGCUAACUACGUGCCAGCAGCCGCGGUAAUAC
Molecule: ribosomal RNA, 407 nt
Filed under: uncultured bacterium
Lineage: Bacteria
Description: partial 16S ribosomal RNA
Rfam family: Bacterial small subunit ribosomal RNA
Source: RNAcentral